GACGGAGGAUGCAAGCGUUAUCCGGAAUGAUUGGGCGUAAAGCGUCCGCAGGUGGCAGUUCAAGUCUGCUGUCAAAGACCGGGGCUUAACUUCGGAAAGGCAGUGGAAACUGAACAGCUAGAGUAUGGUAGGGGCAGAGGGAAUUCCUGGUGUAGCGGUGAAAUGCGUAGAGAUCAGGAAGAACAUCGGUGGCGAAGGCGGCUCACUGGUCCGGUACUGACGCUGAGGUGCGAAAGCGUGGGGAGCAAACAGG
Molecule: ribosomal RNA, 253 nt
Filed under: uncultured bacterium
Lineage: Bacteria
Description: partial 16S ribosomal RNA
Rfam family: Bacterial small subunit ribosomal RNA
Source: RNAcentral